Molecule: long non-coding RNA, 218 nt
Organism: Austrofundulus limnaeus
Lineage: Eukaryota; Metazoa; Chordata; Actinopteri; Cyprinodontiformes; Rivulidae
Exons: 3
Source: RefSeq, a predicted model, not a curated record
CUUUUUAAAAUAUAAAACUUAGUUUGAGCUUCAGCUGCAGGUCCACAAGGAACCCUGCAGGUCUGUGAAGAACCCUGCAGGUCCACAAGGAACCCUGCAGGUCUGUGAAGAACCCUGCAGGUCCACAAGGAACCCUGCAGGUCUGUGAAGAACCCUGCAGGUCCACAAGGAACCCUGCAGGUCUGUGAGGUGGHCCUUGAUCAGAGGACUGAGGCGUA